UUAGUCUAUCGCUAUCAGACUGGCAACGCUUGCGAAAAGUCGAGUUGGCAUUUGUACUCGAAAAAUUCCAUUUAAAUACAAAAUAACCAAACUGCAGAAAAUUAUUAAAUAAGUAACACACUGGCGUAAUUGAGGAAAAGUUUCGUUUUUCCCAGCUAACGCACUGCGACAACAUGUUGCACAACAAUGCCAGCUGGCUGCCACCGCCGCAACAACGGCAUCGUCUGCAGCAA
Molecule: small RNA, 233 nt
Filed under: Drosophila mojavensis
Lineage: Eukaryota; Metazoa; Arthropoda; Insecta; Diptera; Drosophilidae
Description: GI27071
Source: RNAcentral